Molecule: ribosomal RNA, 546 nt
Filed under: Salmonella enterica
Lineage: Bacteria; Pseudomonadati; Pseudomonadota; Gammaproteobacteria; Enterobacterales; Enterobacteriaceae
Description: partial 23S ribosomal RNA
Source: RNAcentral
GGACACGUGGUAUCCUGUCUGAAUAUGGGGGGACCAUCCUCCAAGGCUAAAUACUCCUGACUGACCGAUAGUGAACCAGUACCGUGAGGGAAAGGCGAAAAGAACCCCGGCGAGGGGAGUGAAAAAGAACCUGAAACCGUGUACGUACAAGCAGUGGGAGCACAGGUUUACCUGUGUGACUGCGUACCUUUUGUAUAAUGGGUCAGCGACUUAUAUUCUGUAGCAAGGUUAACCGMAUAGGGGAGCCGGAGGGAAACCGAGUCUUAAUUGGGCGUUAAGUUGCAGGGUAUAGACCCGAAACCCGGUGAUCUAGCCAUGGGCAGGUUGAAGGUUGGGUAACACUAACUGGAGGACCGAACCGACUAAUGUUGAAAAAUUAGCGGAUGACCUGUGGCUGGGGGUGAAAGGCCAAUCAAACCGGGAGAUAGCUGGUUCUCCCCGAAAGCUAUUUAGGUAGCGCCUCGUGAAUUCAUCUCCGGGGGUAGAGCACUGUUUCGGCCAGGGGGYCAUCCCGRCUUACCAACCCGAUGCAAACUGCGAAUACCG